GGGUUACUUCAACUUGAUUGGUUUAUUGAUGGGUUGGUUAGGUCAAGUGGUAUUGGACCAUGCAAUCAUUACCAUGAAGAAGGGGGAGAUGGCAUUGUUGACGCUGCCUCUGAUUUGGGUUAUGAACCACAGAUGUUUGCAAGGAUGGUGGAAUUAUUAAGAAAGUGAUGGAGAAGGGAGAACAAAUUAGCCCACCCAGUGAUUUAGAUUAUGUUCUCGGUAAUAUAACUUGUCUGUUUAUUAUUAAUUAUUUGAUUCCAUGUGAUUUUCAUUGAUGACAAGUUCUAUGUUUUUAGGUUGUUUAGGCUUAGGGCCGGCCUUGAGGCACUGCGAGCAAGGCUACCACCUCGGGCCCCCAAAUUUUGUCUAAAAAAUAGGACCCCCAAAUAAUUUUCGAUCUUAAGUUAUGUUUGGUUCAUUGAAAUUAAAAAAUAAAAUAAAAUGAAAAUCACUCCAACAUAAUGUCCAAAAAGACUAAUAAGAAAUGAUCAUUCUAUUUAAUUUCAUUUCAUUUCAAU
Camellia sinensis is the source of this 518-nucleotide non-coding RNA. Lineage: Eukaryota; Viridiplantae; Streptophyta; Magnoliopsida; Ericales; Theaceae. The record is from RefSeq and is a predicted model, not a curated record.